Apis cerana (Asiatic honeybee) is the source of this 2581-nucleotide long non-coding RNA. RefSeq lists it as uncharacterized. Lineage: Eukaryota; Metazoa; Arthropoda; Insecta; Hymenoptera; Apidae. The record is from RefSeq and is a predicted model, not a curated record.
UAUAGACGAGAAAUGAUUUUGCAUGAAAAAUAAAAAAAAAAUUGGUGUAAUAUUUUUUUUUUUAAACUUUCGUUUUCCAAAAAAUUGAUUUUGAAAAUUAAUAAAAUUCGUAGAAUCAUCAUUUAUUCAAUGGUAUAAUUAAUGCCUCAUAAAUUAUAUAUAUAUGCAGUUCUUGGAAAGAGAUUUAUGAAUCAAGUUAAAAUAAAACAUUAUUUAUAAGAGAUAAUUCAAAAUGAAAAAAUUAGAUUGCAAUAGAUAUUAUAUAUGCAAUAGAUGCUAUAAAUAUUUAAAAACGAAUGAAAUUACAGAUUUUUUUAUAAAUAAUUUUUGAAAAAUUAUUAAUAAUGAUACAUAAAUAUGUGUGAAUUGCAAAGAAUGACAAAACAUUUCCAAAAAAAUCCAGAAUUAAAACAGAAGUGGAUAAAAGCAAUAAAAUAUAAUUUUGAGCAAAUCAUCUCAUUUAAAAAUACGUUAAAAUAUUUUACAAUUGAUUGUUUUGUUAAAAAUCUUUGGAAUUCAAAAUGAUUGUUAAGAACUAUAUGAUCAAAUGUAUUAAUAUUAAUUAAUCAAAUAUAUUAUCAAAUAUAUUAUGUGAUAUAUAUAUAGUAUCAAAUAUAUUAUAUACACUUGAAACAUAUGCAACAGAUAUAUUUAAUAUUUCACAGAAUGAAACAAAAAAAUGAAAAUGCAAGAUAUAACUUCAUAAUCAGUAUUUAAAUUUAAUUUCUAUUGUUUUAAAUUUAUAUAACUCUAUUAAUUUAUUUUUAGUUUAAAAAAUGAUGAAUCUGAAAAUAAUAUAUAUAUAUUAUUACUACUGAUAAAAAAAUAUGAUAUUUGAUAUCAUAUAUGAAUACGAAAUCUUUAAAAAAAAAGCUUUAAGAAAGAAAUGAAAAGUUUAUAUUGGUGAUUUUAAAGAAUGUAAUAUGAUAAAUGAGAAAAAAGAUUAUAUAUACAAAAUUAUUGCAACAAUAAUAGUAAAAAAAAAAAAAAUAACAUUACAAUAGAAAAACAAAAGGCUUAUACAAAAAAUUAAAGAUUUUUAUUUUUUAUGGGUAAUUUGAGAAAUGAAUGUAUGAUUACUGAAAAUGUUUCUAUAAUAUUUUUGAUGAUCCAGCAAAAUAUAUAUCAACGAUAGCAGAAAGUACUUAUAUCAAUUGGAAUGAAAAUAAAUGGCGUACAACAAUAAUUGGCAAAUUUGGAACAAUAACCUUGCAAUGGCAAUUUUGGAAUUACCCUUUGGAAACCAUCGAAAGAAUAAACUCUAGAUUAGCUAUUGCUAGGUUUGUAAUAAUCAGAAUGAUAAUGAUUAAGGUCUAUAAAAAUGACAGAAACAAAAGCUUAAUUAUUCAUAUUAAAUAAUAAUUUGUUUAAUAUAAUUAUAUGUAGGUUUAAUAUAAUUAUAUUUAAGCAAUUAUAUUUAGUAAUAAUAAUUAUGCACUCGAACAUUAUUAAUUUAUAUAAUAAUUUAUUGAAUUAUCAUUUUUUAUGAUUUUAUUACGAGUAGCUUAAAUGAUUAUCUAGAUAGAUUAAUCAACGUGGUUUGUGGACUUGUAAUUCUAUUUUUAUAUAUUUUAUUUGUAUCAUAUUAUGUAUUUGUAUGUAUUUGUACGUAUUAUUAUAUUAUAAUAUUUUUAUUUGAACUUGUAUGUGUAAUUGAAAGCGAAUGAUAUAUUAAGUGUUUCUCUUUCUUAACAAAUAGAAUUCUUAGAAUUGUACAUUUUUUAGAAACACUUCGGCAUGGUUAAACGCGAUCUUGAUGAUAUUUUUCAGUUAUCUCAAUCAGUAUUAUUCUAUAUUCGAGAAAAUUUAUUAAAAAUUCUAAAAAUAAAAUUUAAUUCUAGAAAUUUUCCUUAAAUUGAGAAUGUUACAUAACUAAGAGGUUGAUGUGCUUUAUCAACGAUCCGCGAUUCUUUAAGAUGAAUAUGGAGAGGACUUCAGAAUACUUGUUAAAAUUUGAGAAAAAAAUUAGAAUAAUUUUAAACUUUGAACUAUUAAAAUGUGUUUGAAUUCGAACUUAGUAAAUUUGAAUAAAAGAACUGUUAGAAUCUUUUGAAUUCAUUUAGUAACAAGAUAAACUUUCAUUGAAAUAUGAACUUUAUUCUUAAUUGUUUAAGAUAAAAUUUCAAUUAACAAUAUAUAUUUAAUAUACAUAUACAUAAUUUAAUAGUUAAUAUAUAAUUUUAUAAUAAAUUAAUUUUAUUAUUAUAUAUCAUAAAUUCACGAACAGAAUGAAAUUAUUUGUUCCACAAUAUGGGAGAUUAUCAUGGUGAUAUAAGUUAUAGUGGAAAUUAGUUUGAGAAGUUAUAAUUUUUGUAAAAGUUCAAAGCAAAUAAAGUAUCUAAUAAAACUCUCUAAUUCGGUUUUAAGAGAUGAAAUCACGUUUUGAAGAAAAUUUAAAAUUUUCUUUUUAAUGAAAUAUUUUUAAUACGUGUUUAUGUUUUAAAUUAUUAUAUAAUUUUAUGUGAAUAUUAAAAAAAUAUUGUAAAAAAAUUGUAUUGUUUUAUUAUAUAUAUUUAUCGAAUCCUAUUAAAAAUUUUUGAAAAUUUUAUUUGAUUUUUGAGAUAUCAGCACCAUCCUUUAA